RNAcentral lists this ribosomal RNA (555 nucleotides) under Prothrombosternus tarsalis. RNAcentral describes it as "eukaryotic LSU rRNA". It matches the Rfam family "Eukaryotic large subunit ribosomal RNA", at positions 284 to 645 of the family's 3401-position model. Lineage: Eukaryota; Metazoa; Arthropoda; Insecta; Coleoptera; Curculionidae. The record is from RNAcentral.
AGCCCUAAGUGGGUGGUAAACUCCAUCUAAGGCUAAAUAUGACCACGAGACCGAUAGCGAACAAGUACCGUGAGGGAAAGUUGAAAAGCACUUUGAAGAGAGAGUUCAAGAGUACGUGAAACCGUUUAGGGGUAAACCUGAGAAACCCGAAAGGUCGAAGGGAGAAAUUCAUUCGCGUUUCGCCGUUGGCGUGAAGCGGUCGUGUGACGGAAGACACUCGCGUUUUCCGCGCCUUCUGUUUUUCGAUCCGACAGCGAACGCGUGCACUUUUCUCCUGGUAGGACGUCGCGAUCCGUUGGGUGUCGGUCUACGGCUCGCGGUGGAGCCCGGACGUACGGCUUGCCGUCACGUUCGGACCCGCGUGUCCCGGCUGACUCGCUCGACGGUAUACGAAAGGUUUAAGGCCGCUCUUAGAGCGUUCGGCUCGCUGCAAGCGCGUCAGAUGUGUCGGCGAUCGGACCUAGUGCCGGUUCUGACCUCUGGCGACUGUUGGCCGCGAAGUUCUCGAACAGACCUUUGACCGAUCUGCGACGCUAUAGCUUUGGGUACUUUCAG